RNAcentral lists this ribosomal RNA (350 nucleotides) under uncultured Flexibacter sp. RNAcentral's name for it is "bacterial SSU rRNA". It matches the Rfam family "Bacterial small subunit ribosomal RNA", at positions 57 to 403 of the family's 1533-position model. The record is from RNAcentral. Lineage: Bacteria; Pseudomonadati; Bacteroidota; Cytophagia; Cytophagales; Flexibacteraceae.
GCAGUCGAGCGGUUAUAGGGAUUAUCGAUAGUUUUUAUGAUAGUGGCGCACGGGUGCGUAACGCGUAUGCAACCUACCUUCAAUUGGGGGAUAACUCUGGGAAACGGGAAUUAAUACCGCAUAAUAUAGUAAUGCUUCAUGGCAUAGCUAUUAAAGAUUUAUCGAUUGAAGAUGGGCAUGCGUGACAUUAGUUAGUUGGUGAGGUAACGGCUCACCAAGACUUCGAUGUCUAGGGGUUCUGAGAGGAUGAUCCCCCACACUGGUACUGAGAUACGGACCAGACUCCUACGGGAGGCAGCAGUAGGGAAUAUUGGUCAAUGGACGCAAGUCUGAACCAGCCAUGCCGCGUG